GACGAACGCUGGCGGCGUGCCUAACACAUGCAAGUCGAACGGAAAGGCCCUGCUUUUGUGGGGUGCUCGAGUGGCGAACGGGUGAGUAACACGUGAGUAAGCUGCCCUUGACUGUGGGAUAACUUCAGGAAACUGGGGCUAAUACCGGAUAGGAGCUUCUGCUGCAUGGUGGGGGUUGGAAAGUUUCGGCGGUUGGGGAUGGACUCGCGGCUUAUCGGCUUGUUGGGUGGGUAGUUGCUUACGGAGGGCUUGACGGGUAGCCUGCCUGGGAGGGGAACCAGCCACAUGACGACUGAGAUACGGCCCAGACUCGUACGGUAGGCAGAAGUGGGGAAUAUUGCCCAAUGGGCGGGAGCCUGAUGCAGCAACGCCGCGUGCGGGAUGACGGCCUUGGGGUUGUAAACCGCUGUCGCCUGAGACGAAGCGUGAGUGACGGUAAUGGGUAAAGAAGCACCGGCUAACUACGUG
This 468-nucleotide ribosomal RNA is filed under the name uncultured bacterium. RNAcentral describes it as "partial 16S ribosomal RNA". It matches the Rfam family "Bacterial small subunit ribosomal RNA", at positions 28 to 507 of the family's 1533-position model. The record is from RNAcentral.